Molecule: ribosomal RNA, 714 nt
Filed under: uncultured bacterium
Lineage: Bacteria
Description: bacterial SSU rRNA
Rfam family: Bacterial small subunit ribosomal RNA
Source: RNAcentral
AUUAGAUACCCCUGGUAGUCCACGCAGUAAACGAUGAAUGCCGGCUGUCCGGCCCGACUGGGGGCUGGGUGGCGAAGCGAAAGCGAUAAGCAUUCCACCUGGGGAGUACGCCGGCAACGGUGAAACUCAAAGGAAUUGACGGGGGCCCGCACAAGCGGAGGAACAUGUGGUUUAAUUCGAUGAUACGCGAGGAACCUUACCCGGGCUCAAACGGGAGAUGACGCAGGGAGAGACCCCUGUUUCUCAGGACAUCUUCCGAGGUGCUGCAUGGUUGUCGUCAGCUCGUGCCGUGAGGUGUCGGCUUAAGUGCCAUAACGAGCGCAACCCCUGCCGACAGUUGCUAACGGUUAAAGCCGAGGACUCUGUCGGGACUGCCGGCGCAAGCCGCGAGGAAGGCGGGGAUGACGUCAAAUCAGCACGGCCCUUACGUCCGGGGCGACACACGUGUUACAAUGGGUGGCACAGAGGGAAGCCAGGCGGCGACGCCGAGCGGAACCCGAAAUCCACUCUCAGUUCGGAUCGGAGUCUGCAACCCGACUCCGUGAAGCUGGAUUCGCUAGUAAUCGCGCAUCAGCCAUGGCGCGGUGAAUACGUUCCCGGGCCUUGUACACACCGCCCGUCAAGCCAUGGGAGCCGAGGGCGCUUGAAGUGCGUCGCCGCAAGAAGCGCCCUAGAGCGAAAUCGGUGACUGGGGCUAAGUCGUAACAAGGUAAC